Molecule: unclassified non-coding RNA, 403 nt
Filed under: soil metagenome
Description: partial contains 5.8S ribosomal RNA, internal transcribed spacer 2, and large subunit ribosomal RNA
Rfam family: 5.8S ribosomal RNA (bases 1-121)
Source: RNAcentral
GAUGAAGAACGUAGUGAAAUGCGAUAAGUAAUGUGAAUUGCAGAAUUCAGUGAAUCAUCGAAUCUUUGAACGCACCUUGCGCCCUUUGGCUAUUCCGAAGGGCAUGCCUGUUUGAGUAUCAUGAACACCUCAACUCUCAUGGCUUGCCUUGAUGAGCUUGGACUUUGGGGGUCUUGCUGGCCUGUGGUUGGCUCCUCUCAAAUGAAUCAGCUUAUCAGUGUUUGGUGGCAUCACAGGUGUGAUAACUAUCUACGCUUGUGGUUUUCCACCAGGUUAACCUUCAGUGAUGGAGGUUCGCUGGAGCUCAUAAAUGUCUCUUCUCAGUGAGGACAGCUCUUUGAACGUUUGAUCUCAAAUCAGGUAGGACUACCCGCUGAACUUAAGCAUAUCAAUAAGCGGAGGA